CUGGCUUCCAGUGGUUUGGAAUAGUCUUUAAACACAAAUUUCAUUAGUACAGAAAGCCUGUUACUUUGAAAGCACUCUUAGGGUACCACAUUUGAUUUUCACUUUUCUUUAGACCAGCCAACACUGCAAAUAGUUGGGGAAACAUGGCAAUGUCAGGAACGAAUCAGAGCAAGAAAUACAAUAGAAGACACAAAAAUCUUCAGCUGCAGAAAAAAGGAUGAUUUUUCACAUGCAUGUUGUUUCAUCACAAGGGUUGAGAUAAAGAGAAAGUAUUUGGGUUAAUCUGUAUCUCAAAGCAGUGACUACUAGGAACAGUUAAUAACAUUUUUUCUAUGACUUGUUCCUGCAGUCCAUUCAGUUUGGUGUCUAGCAGCAGGGCUGUGAUCUCUAAGAGCUUGCAAUCAUUACAUCUGAGUUCAGCUUCUCAAUUUGUAUUGGUGUUAACAGGGAUCAUGCAGCUUAAGAGCCAAGGCAGCAUUUUAGAAAUGAAGGAGUGUCGGAUCACGGAGUACAUCCCUUGCCAGUUCUCAACAGGCCUUUGGAUUAAGAAGCUGCUGUUAUGCUUCAGUUUUUCAGAAUGCAUGGUACUUCACAUCCUCCACAUUCAUGUGAGAAGAGUUAUCAAAACUGUCUUGAAUUAAUUAAAAGUAAGUGUAAUCUCCACAAACAUGUGGGAGCCAGGGGAGCAGGGGUUGAGGGAGAAAAAAAAGA
RNAcentral lists this long non-coding RNA (711 nucleotides) under Parus major (Great Tit). RNAcentral describes it as "lncRNA (ENSPMJG00000010150.1)". Lineage: Eukaryota; Metazoa; Chordata; Aves; Passeriformes; Paridae. The record is from RNAcentral.